UCAAUGACCAAAGCACAAUAUGACAUCUGAAAGGGACCGUCUUCCCUCAUAAUACUUCAUGGAAUGUGUGGGACAAUCUAGAAGUCCAGACUGUGGAACAAAAUGGAUCUGUGGACCAUUUUCCUGCAGUGGCCUUGAGAAGGGAUUUGACAAGCACUCUCACAUAUACUGAGAUAACAAGCCAGGAAUACAAAAAGUCAUGGCAGCUAUUGUUCAUUAUUGGUCCUUCAUUCCUAGUGCUUACCAAAUAUUUGCAUGUGAAAAUAACCGAAAGAAAAGCACCAUACAGACCUGGAUGUUUCUAUCAAAACUAGAGAAAAAAAUUAAAAUAAGCCCUCCUGCCCCACUUAAAAAAAAAUCAACAAUAAGGAUUCUUCUUUUUAUUUCUGGUAAAUAAGGAAUGAGUAUGACUCAGCUCCCUUACCCCUAAAUAUACAAUGUGAAAAAUACUCUCUGCAGUGUGAGGUUCCUAAUGGGCUGCAUGUGUCUUCUGGCUGCCUCUACCAACGUGACUGUUGAAAACACUGGGUUAUGUCCUUUUCCAGACUCAUCCAAAAGGAAUAAAACAGAACAUUAAAGGUCCA
Molecule: long non-coding RNA, 584 nt
Filed under: Coturnix japonica (Japanese quail)
Lineage: Eukaryota; Metazoa; Chordata; Aves; Galliformes; Phasianidae
Description: lncRNA (ENSCJPG00005003522.1)
Source: RNAcentral